CCACCAUUUCUUCAUUGGAUAAUUCUAUGGGUACAGGAAAGUUGGAUAGAAUACUUACAGGAUUUCAAAUUUGCACCUGCACACAUAUCCCACAUAUAAUACGUCUUUUUAUUUCCUUCGAUUUUCAGCCCAAAAUCGGACCGGCCAUUUGCCACCAUAAAAUGAACCCGUAUCGUUUUCCCCCCAAAUCAUUUCCUUUUAUCCCUCAAAACCAGAAAGCAAGACGCUCUUCCCGUCGCUCUUCCCGCAUCUCUUCAUCUUUGAAUUUCUAGGCCCACGACAGGGAAAUCAAGCACGGGCUCAUCUAUUCUAGAACAUCCUUCUACCCAAGAACGACGAAGGCAACUGAAACCGAAGGUGGAAAUAGAUGAUGGACAAAGGUAUUUGCUUCUUUGUCUUAAAUGUGUUAGCUCGUACAUUGGUUGACCAAUUAUUAGAUUAUGAGCAAUAGCAUUUUCCUUCUUGGAUAGAGCCUUCAUUUCUUGCUUGUGUGCCCUUUUUUUAACACUAGAGGAGUAUAUGAUCUGCAAGGGUAGUGAAAGGGGAUCUUAGAAUUAGUUUGGUAUUAGCUAGCAUGUGGCUCCCUGAACAUUGGAUUAAUUAUGGACUCAGUAAUUAUGUAUUCUGUUUACGAGCAACAAAUGUUACUGCAGUAUCAAAAUCUGGAAGAAACCAAGAUUACAGUACAUCCGGACCCAAGUGGUGAAAAGUUAUUAAUGAUAUUUUGUCCGUCUAUACCUGUUAUACACUAGCACAUAGAUUUUCUUCUUGAUAGUCUGACUUUCUUCUUGGAUCUAGAUUACUUAAAUACUGUCCUCAUUCGUAUGUUCAAUUAUCAUUUGGAUGAGUGCGUUGACUUUCUUCUUGGAUCCAGAUUACUUAAAUACUGUCCUCAUUCGUAUGUUCAAUUAUCAUUUGGAUGAGUGCAUUUUUGGCAUUGUGGAUAUGCUUUACUCAGAGUUGAAAUGAUUAUGUGAACAUAACAGUGAUUGGAGGAGUUAUUUUAUGAAUUUGGCUGAGCUAUUUUGGCUGAGCUAUUAUUUAUUUAUUUAUUUUUUGGCUGAGCUAUGUUCAAUUAUCAUUUGGUUGAGCUAUUUUUUUUUUUUUGGUGCUGAGCUAUGUUCAAUUAUCAUUUGGCUAAGCUAUUUUUUUUUGGUGCCAUUAAAUUUUUCUCGUCGCAAGCAUGUUAAUACUGUUAUUGGUAAAGUUGUGAUUUUAGUUACAUGUGAUUUACAACUUCUAAUAAAAUCACAGCAUUUAUUGCAGGAAAAGAGAUUAUAGAAGAUGAGAAUCCUGAUGUCGUUGUAGAAAGUGAUGAUGAGAACAUGGCCGCAAAUUUGAACACAUUGGACAAAAUUAGAAGGAGAUGUUGUGACUAAGCUUGAGGUCGGUAUGAUGUUUAAUAGUGAAGAAGAAAUCUUGGACUUCUAUAAACGAUAUACUUACGGGAUAGGUUUUCUAGUGAGGAAACAAAAUUCGAAAAAGGGGGAAGAUGGAGUUAUGAGAUACGUGACGUUUACAUGUAGUCAUGAUGGUCAAAGAAUUUACGCAACAGGAGGUUCUCUAAAGCCGCAACCAACAAAUCAGACAAGAAUAUCUACAUCAUUAGAUAGUCUUGGAAUUUGGAGAAUUAACAAAGUGUUCCUCUAGCAUAAUCAUAGGACAAGUCCUUCUAAGUCAAGAUUGUAUCGAUGCAAUCAAAAGUUGACUGCAGGUGCGAAGUGAAAUCUCAAGUUAAAUGAUAUGGCAGGAAUGCCCUUGCACAAGAGUUUUAACUCAGCAGUUGUGGCAGCAGGUGGAUAUGAGAACAUAACGUUCAUGGAAAAGGACUGUUGGAACUACAUAGAUCAGGUGAGAUGACUACGACUCGGUGAAGGAAAUGUGAUCGCAAUCAAGGGUACUUUUCAAAGAUGCAAGCACGUUGCUCAGGAUUUUAUUUCAGAAUGGACUUACACGAUGAGUCACGACUAAGGAAUGUACUUUGGGCAGAUAAUAGAUAUAAUCAGUCUCACAAAGAGUUCAGUGACGUGGUCACUUUUGAUACUAUGUAUCUUACUAAUAAAUAUGAUAUGCCCUUCAUCCCUUUUGUUGGCGUAAAUCAUCACGGACAAUUGACUCUGCUUGGUUGUGGACUAUUAUCGAAUGAAGACACAUGUAGUUUUAUGUGGUUGUUCAAGAUAUGGCUAGAGUGCAUGCAUGGUGAAGCCCCUAGUGGAAUAAUUACUGAUCAAGAUCGAGCAAUCAAAAUGCAAUUGAGUUUGUAUUUCCAAAUACGAGGCAUAGAUGGUGUUUGUGGCAUAUUUUGAAGAAGCUGCCAGAAAAGUUUGGGUUUCAUGCACAUAAGGGCGCCAUAUUUUCUGCUAUACACGAGCUAGUAUAUGAAUCACAGUUCGUUGAAGAAUUUGAGCACGAUUGGAGGAUGAUGCUCGAUAUUUAUGACUUGAAAUAGAAUGAUUGGUUGUCGGGCCUGUACGGUAACAGAAGUCGUUGGGCUCCUUGUUUUUUGAAGACCACUUUUUGGGUAAGGAUGUCCACAACACAACGAAGUGAGAGUAUGAAUGCAUUUUUUUUUAUAGAUAUGUGCAUUCGAAAACUUCGUUGAAGCAGUUCGUUGAACAGUAUGAAAGAGCACUGAGGAAUAAGGUUUAGAAAGAGUUUCAGGCUGAUUUCAAGUCAUUUUCUCAAAUGGUACAUGUGCAACUACUUUUGAAAUAGAGAAACAGUUUCAAUCAGUUUACACAAUUUCGAAGUUCAAGGAAGUACAAAAUGAGUUCACUGGGAAGGUAUACUAUGAUCUAAUUUUUGAGGAGGAAUGUUUUUGGAUGAAUUAUGAGGUUCAUGAGCAUCAGAAGAACAUAACAUUUUGCAUCUCAUUUCGGAGAGAUCCUUGCGAAUUCACUUGUAGUUGCCACUUAUUCGAGUUUUGAGGAAUCAUUUGUCGGCAUGCGAUCACAGUUUUGGUCCGCAAUCGCAUCACUGCAAUGCCUGAUAGGUAUAUACUACGAAGAUGAUGGAGAGAUGUCAAAAGAGCAAACACAAUGGUCAAAGUCAAUUAUGCUGGGUUAGGAAGUACUCCGGGACAGGUACGAUAUGACAAUAUGUGCGAGGCUUUCUCAGAGGUAGCAUACCUCACUGUAGAUGAUGAAGAGUGGUCACGUGCUAUGACGAAAUGGAUAAAACUGCAACCAGAACACAUGCAGACGUCAAAGUCGAGCAGCGGAAGCAAAGCCAUUUCGCAGCAUGUUAUUCGUUCAGCCAGCCUCUGAUUGUAAUAAGUCACAAAAUUCUGCAAGCAUGAGCAUAUUGGAUCCUAAUCAUCCAAAAGAAAGGGCGCACCGAGGAAACUUCGACGGAGAGGCUGCUUGGAGUCCACCUAAUACAAAUCGAAGGUAUUGUGGUCCAUUUCCCUUCUAAUUGAUUAUGCAUUUGAGUUAAAAUUCUAAUUCGAGGUGAUAAAACAUGCAGUCCACAUCAACAAAGAGGCCUAGUAUUAUGGAGGAGAAUGUAAGUGAUUCAUAUUCAUCUCGAGUACCGCAACGUUCUAUGCCGCCGGAAAUAUCAUAUUCGGAACUCCUAUUGGUGAGUAUUGGUAGGUCUGAUUAACAUGAAUUUGACUCUUUUUUUUUUUUUUUUUUUGGAAUAUCAAGUGGGUACAACAAAUCCUUUUAUCUUUCUAGUGUUCUUAUCUUGCCAUGCUAAAAUGGGUGACAACUCAUGUAGGAUAACAAUGCCAACAAAGUCAUCACGUCGAACUUGCCAUAUUCAUCUUCUAUGUACCCCCNNNNNNNNNNNNNNNNNNNNNNNNNNNNNNNNNNNNNNNNNNNNNNNNNNNNNNNNNNNNNNACGAACGGAAAAGCAAUUACUAAUUUUUAUCUCGUCCUCUAGGUCAUGUGUUGCCAUACUACUAUCGUCAUUUGCUCGACGACGAUGGCAAAAGGUCGUGAUUAUAGCUGGUCAAGUAUAUUUGCACCAUCUGUAUUGUACUUAUCCAAUACCAUCCUUAGGUACAAAUAUUGAGCCAGCGGACUAAACCAAUAAUUCUUGAAAUCUGACCAGUUGAUUUGGCCAUCCGAGUUUGAUUCAGCCUGAGCACCGAUCGAUUGAAAUUAAUUGUCAAAAGUAGGUAAGUCGAAGGCAAAAAUAAUCAACCAUAUUACUGGUAAAAAUAAAUAUUUGUACCUUAGGAUGCAAUGUUGUUGUUUCAUUGGAUUUUCUGUAUUAAUCAGUCCUUGGAUUUUACACUCACUGUGAACGCAUUGGUGGCUGCAUUUUUUGAAAGGAAAUAGGUGAUAUUAGAUAAUGGACAUCAACAUCAUGGUGCUGUUUCAUUUCACGUGAUCCUAUUGCAGUUAGUUGAAGCAUGCAGACAUUUAUCUACUCUAGUUCAGAGGUAAAAUGCAGGGAACAUGCCGAAAAAAGGCACCCCAAAAUUCUUAGUUUUAUUCUUGAAUUUCUAGAUUGUCUAUUUAAUCAAGCAUGUAGUUGUGAAUGGCAUAUUUCUAAUUUAAUGACACUGUGGCAAUUGUAUUUUCUAUUUAAAACCAUGAGAUUAUCUUCUCUAAGAUUUACUGUGAAUGGCAAUCUAAAUGGCUAUUUACUGUUAUUUCUCAUGGCUAUUUAAUGUGGACAACAUGCUCAUUUGGUUGUUUGAUUUGCACAACAUGAACAUGAUUGGUAAGAACUUUUAUUAGAA
Molecule: long non-coding RNA, 4693 nt
Filed under: Olea europaea subsp. europaea
Lineage: Eukaryota; Viridiplantae; Streptophyta; Magnoliopsida; Lamiales; Oleaceae
Source: RNAcentral